Molecule: ribosomal RNA, 460 nt
Filed under: uncultured bacterium
Lineage: Bacteria
Description: partial 16S ribosomal RNA
Rfam family: Bacterial small subunit ribosomal RNA
Source: RNAcentral
CCUACGGGAGGCAGCAGUGAGGAAUAUUGGUCAAUGGACGAGAGUCUGAACCAGCCAAGUAGCGUGAAGGAUGACUGCCCUAUGGGUUGUAAACUUCUUUUAUAAAGGAAUAAAACGAGGCACGUGUGCCUUUUUGCAUGUACUUUAUGAAUAAGGAUCGGCUAACUCCGUGCCAGCAGCCGCGGUAAUACGGAGGAUCCGAGCGUUAUCCGGAUUUAUUGGGUUUAAAGGGAGCGUAGAUGGGUUGUUAAGUCAGUUGUGAAAGUUUGCGGCUCAACCGUAAAAUUGCAAUUGAUACUGGCAGUCGUGAGUACAGUUGAGGUAGGCUGAAUUCGUGGUGUAGCGGUGAAAUGCUUAGAUAUCACGAAGAACCCCGAUUGCGAAGGCAGCUUACUAAACUGUGACUGACAUUGAUGCUCGAAAGUGUGGGUAUCAAACAGGAUUAGAUACCCCUGUAGUC